GACGAACCGUCCAAACGUUUAUUCGGAAUUACUGGGCGUAAAGCGCGUGUAGGCGGCUAUGUAAGUCGGGCGUGAAAUCCCACGGCUCAACCGUGGAAGUGCACCCGAAACUGCGUAGCUAGAGUCCUGGAGAGGAAGGUGGAAUGCUUGGUGUAGAGGUGAAAUUCGUAGAUAUCAAGCGGAACACCGGUGGCGAAGGCGGCCUUCUGGACAGUGACUGACGCUGAGACGCGAAAGCGUGGGGAGCAAACAGG
This 254-nucleotide ribosomal RNA is filed under the name uncultured bacterium. RNAcentral describes it as "partial 16S ribosomal RNA". It matches the Rfam family "Bacterial small subunit ribosomal RNA", at positions 524 to 776 of the family's 1533-position model. The record is from RNAcentral.